This 400-nucleotide ribosomal RNA is filed under the name Theileria equi. Its description in RNAcentral is "SSU rRNA". It matches the Rfam family "Eukaryotic small subunit ribosomal RNA", at positions 448 to 884 of the family's 1831-position model. Lineage: Eukaryota; Apicomplexa; Aconoidasida; Piroplasmida; Theileriidae. The record is from RNAcentral.
AUCCUGACACAGGGAGGUAGUGACAAGAAAUAACAAUACGGGGCUUGAAGUCUUGUAAUUGGAAUGAUGGGAAUUUAAACCCCUUCCAGAGUAUCAAUUGGAGGGCAAGUCUGGUGCCAGCAGCCGCGGUAAUUCCAGCUCCAAUAGCGUAUAUUAAACUUGUUGCAGUUAAAAAGCUCGUAGUUGAAUUUCUGCUGCAUCGUGGUUCUUCGCUAUGUCGAGUGAUCUUCGUUGUGGCUUAGUUGGGGCAUGUUUUCAUGACUCGACGUUUACUUUGAGAAAAUUAGAGUGCUUCAAGCAGGCUUUUGCCUUGAAUACUUUAGCAUGGAAUAAUGGAGUAGGACUUUGGUUCUAUUUUGUUGGUUUUAGGAGCCGGAGUAAUGGUUAAUAGGAACAGUUG